Long non-coding RNA from Gopherus agassizii (Agassiz's desert tortoise), 599 nucleotides. The record is from Ensembl. NCBI's taxonomy places the organism in Eukaryota, Metazoa, Chordata, Testudines, Testudinidae.
CUGUUAUUUGCCCUGCUGUAGUUCCAGGAUGAAUCUGCUGAGCCCUGCUCUUUCCUCCCCAUAGGAAGAAGGGCCCACAAUCAUUCAGAAGACACAUGAGCUCAUUUGGCUACCCCUCGAUGGUAGCAAUACAAGGAUCUGUGAUGCUUAUGAGACUACAGGUGUGGAUAUGGAGAAAUUUGUUAUGUGAAGAUAAGCUGCACAUGCCAUUCACUGUUGGCAAAUGUAAAGUAAUGAGCUUAACCCUUAACUCUCGGCUGUGCUAUGUAAUAAUAAUGGAACUGCUCAGACAGCUCAGACAGUGCUUGAGGCCCUGCCAAACCACAUGGAGUGAUGCCAUAAUCAAAUUCGCAAUGUCUUAUCUUCCUCAGAUAAAGUUAUCAUCAAAGGAGUGCUGGCAUGAACAAAGAAAAGAUUCAGGGCACAGACCUACUCUAAUGUAUUGAGCUGUGACACAAAUUGGGCUGUCCUUGUUUGCCUUUCUUCUCUGUUUCUUUUUCCAAUUGGUCUGCCAAAGCAACACUGCUAGUUUGGUUUCACACAUCUAUUUGAGACAACAGACCUUUAAAACAAAUAAAUCUAGAAAGGGUUAAAAUUCA